Felis catus (domestic cat) is the source of this 1443-nucleotide long non-coding RNA. RefSeq lists it as uncharacterized. NCBI's taxonomy places the organism in Eukaryota, Metazoa, Chordata, Mammalia, Carnivora, Felidae. The record is from RefSeq and is a predicted model, not a curated record. The transcript has 2 exons.
GAAAAGGAGAAACAGGAAACAAGGGAGUGACGUCGAGCAGCAUUCCAUGCUAUAUUAGGGCAGAGUAAAAAGAUGGGAAAGCAACUUGGUGGGCUCAAAACAGAAUCUCGUUAAAAUGUCCUCAAAUGUCAAAUAAAAUUAGAAACCCUGUGUAGCGAGCAGAGCCCUGAUUGGCUGGGAGCGGUUCUGGCGCUCCCCUCACCCUCCCGCCCUCCUUCUGACACGGAGGUUUACAUCGAGGGGAUGAGUGGAAGCAUUUUGAACAUGGGACAUGAAGACCAUGAAGGACAGCGAGACACUCCUUCUAACAGGUGGCCGAGCAAAAGGCAGUUGGAACACACACACGUUUCUGACGGGCCAGAAAACGCCUCAUUUUGCAAACUGCUUUUCUUUCUUGAAAGCACAUUUUGUCCUACUGAUUGAGCAUCGGGCCAGAUCCUGGCAAAGAGGAAAAGUUCGGGGGAGCAGGGGGCAAAACCCAUCCGCCUGCCCUCCCCCACGCGGGCUCCGUCUCCAGUCGAGGGGGUGGCCUUUUAAAAUUCCACUUCUAGCUUCUCAUGGAAUUACUCGGAAAGGAAGCUAAGGGUUCUUCCUUAUCCUGUUUUGGAAUUACGCCCUUUCAACCAGCUAAAACGCAUCUGCUAAUGCUUUUAGGGAAAACAUCCCCACCAGAAGUAAAGUGGCCAGCAGGAAAGUUCUAACGGUGUGCCAAGGGGGGAAAGAACCCCGAGGAAUGAGGAGGGACAGGGGCCUGCGUACCGACAGCCGGCCCCUCAGAGCUGCACUUUUGAAAAUCGUGUUUAUGGGGCAGCUACAAAGAUUUUGGGUUUUGCCUGUUUUCUGUAAAAAGGUCAACGAAACUUCUGGCCUCUGAGGAAGAUAACCACACCCUGGCUUGAAACAAGGUGCAGGCUGUGUCUGAGGAGGGGAUGUCCGUCCGGGCCAAUGCUAGUAAUGGUAACUUUUGGGGGCGCGGGGGAUGUCACCUCUAACUUGAAGCAAGUGCUUUUGAAACCAAAAAGGGCUUCUUCGUCUUCAUAAACCGCCACUCACCCCCCUCCACCCCCAAAUUAGGCGACACACCAUAUUGCGAGGUGGGCACGAUGGCCUCACCAUACGUUUCUACAGAUCGUGAGAAACCCUCUCAGGAGUGAGCCCCGCGAUUAGCUAAUCCUUCACCAUGACAGGGCGUCUCAGAACAGGAUUCCGCAGCUAAUUAUCUUCCUACUCGGCACAAAUAAAAUUCUGCCACAGAUUCGCUGCCUAGAUAGGAAGACCCCAGGACUGCGUGGGACUGGUAUCUGUCACCUCUGUGAACACUGCCAUGUCACAGAACGGGUGACUGCAGAAUCUCUCUCAAGGCCUGGAAUCCUCGCUCAGUGGGCACAGGGCUGUCUGUGAGGUUCUGUCUCAAUAAAGAUGCUCGGGGCCCUCUCUCCCCUA